This 74-nucleotide transfer RNA is filed under the name Melghiribacillus thermohalophilus. It matches the Rfam family "tRNA". From Rfam's summary of the family: Transfer RNA (tRNA) molecules are approximately 80 nucleotides in length. Their secondary structure includes four short double-helical elements and three loops (D, anti-codon, and T loops). Lineage: Bacteria; Bacillati; Bacillota; Bacilli; Caryophanales; Bacillaceae. The record is from Rfam by way of RNAcentral. RNAcentral also lists the same sequence under 2 other names.
GGCCCCGUAGCUCAGCAGGAUAGAGCGUCGGUUUCCUAAACCGUGCGUCGGGGGUUCGAGUCCCUCCGGGGCCG